GUCGAGCGGAAACGACACUAACAAUCCUUCGGGUGCGUUAAUGGGCGUCGAGCGGCGGACGGGUGAGUAAUGCCUAGGAAAUUGCCUUGAUGUGGGGGAUAACCAUUGGAAACGAUGGCUAAUACCGCAUAAUGCCUACGGGCCAAAGAGGGGGACCUUCGGGCCUCUCGCGUCAAGAUAUGCCUAGGUGGGAUUAGCUAGUUGGUGAGGUAAUGGCUCACCAAGGCGACGAUCCCUAGCUGGUCUGAGAGGAUGAUCAGCCACACUGGAACUGAGACACGGUCCAGACUCCUACGGGAGGCAGCAGUGGGGAAUAUUGCACAAUGGGCGAAAGCCUGAUGCAGCCAUGCCGCGUGUAUGAAGAAGGCCUUCGGGUUGUAAAGUACUUUCAGUUGUGAGGAAGGGGGUAGCGUUAAUAGCGCUAUCUCUUGACGUUAGCAACAGAAGAAGCACCGGCUAACUCCGUGCCAGCAGCCGCGGUAAUACGGAGGGUGCGAGCGUUAAUCGGAAUUACUGGGCGUAAAGCGCAUGCAGGUGGUUCAUUAAGUCAGAUGUGAAAGCCCGGGGCUCAACCUCGGAACUGCAUUUGAAACUGGUGAACUAGAGUACUGUAGAGGGGGGUAGAAUUUCAGGUGUAGCGGUGAAAUGCGUAGAGAUCUGAAGGAAUACCAGUGGCGAAGGCGGCCCCCUGGACAGAUACUGACACUCAGAUGC
Molecule: ribosomal RNA, 714 nt
Filed under: Vibrio sp. Vb122
Lineage: Bacteria; Pseudomonadati; Pseudomonadota; Gammaproteobacteria; Vibrionales; Vibrionaceae
Description: bacterial SSU rRNA
Rfam family: Bacterial small subunit ribosomal RNA
Source: RNAcentral